Seriola aureovittata is the source of this 2716-nucleotide long non-coding RNA. RefSeq lists it as uncharacterized. NCBI's taxonomy places the organism in Eukaryota, Metazoa, Chordata, Actinopteri, Carangiformes, Carangidae. The transcript has 3 exons. The record is from RefSeq and is a predicted model, not a curated record.
CUUUUGUCUUGUAAAUAUGAAUUGUGACAGCUGACAUCUGUUGUAUCAAUGUAUCGAUUUUCUGCUGUGGAUCAAAUUUAGUAUAGAGAGUAAUGGAAUUUCUUUACUAUUGGUACUGACUACGAAAUUUGUGGUAUCAUGACAUCCUUACUAGAGUUUGCUGAUCAACUUCACAAGUAAAUAUAGUAAAACAAAUUAAAGGAACACUUUGACAUUUGAGGGCUAGAUGUUAUCUUAUCUUCCGCUAGCUUGGCGCCUUGAAGCAAAAUUCUUAUACUAGCGCCUCCAAAGCACACUUAUUAAGAUUUUAUAUCUAAUUUGUUUAAUCAAUAAACAAAAUUGUUACCUUUGGACAGAUCCAAAGGUGUAGCUGUUUCCAUCUGUUUCCAGUGUAUGCUAAGCUAACUGGCUGCUGGUGGUAGCUUCACAUUUAGUGCGGUAUUGAUCCUCUCAUCUCUUCUCUUGGCAAGAAAACAAAUACAUUUUUCAAACUGUCAAACCUUUUUCUUUUUUUUUACUUAAGAGCAUUUCACUUCUAGUGUGUGCUGUAGUUGACUGCUUCUGUGUUCAGCUCAGUUUCGAUUGCUAAACUUUACUUCCCCAAAAGACCUCAUCUGACAUGUUAAGUGCCAUAUUAUGUCAGUUUGAGUUAGCUUCACUGUACAUGUUUAAUAUGCUCUGUGUUAACCUGCCAAUAUUGGCACAAAUAUGCUGUAGCUCCUUUAUUACAUGUCCAAUUCCCAGUUGUGGUGAAAAAUGGUUUCAAUCUAGAUGUCUUGGUUGUAGCAUAUCCAAAGGAGCAGCGACUAAAGUAAUUUGACAGGUGAUAAAAGAGGGCUGUGCUAAUCAACUGCUUGUAGAAGACUACUUUAUACUCGCUAGCAAUAUCAUUUCCAGUGUUUUUCUGUAUGUUUAUUUUGCCCCUGUGUAAUUUUCAUUUUUCAAUAAAUGUGUACACUCCUCAUACAGACAGUUACUGUAUGUUGGUACUGGCAGCCAUAGCAUGAAUAUCUACAAUGAAAACCAAAGGGUCUCAAUACAGUUUCAUUAUCUCACUUAUGUAAAUCAGUGUCUCUUUUUCUGUUUUCUAAAAAACCUAUUUCAGCAUCCAGUCACCAGUCAGAGAUGAGAAAUGGCUUCAAUCUGGGUUUCAUUACUAAAGCGAACCCCAAGCAGCAGCAUGAACAUGAACUUCCCAGAGUAACAUGACAGGUGAUCUAACAGGGCACUGCUUAAUCAACACACUGACAAACUACUAGUGGAUGACUACUAAGCGCUACACUUUGAAGGGUUGAACAGCAGGACUGGAGGAAUGAACAACUGGCAGGGAACUAAAACUCCCCGAGGACCCGAUAUGUCAGCCAGAUAGAACCAAGAUGGAGUAAGCCUUUGUUCUUCACAACAGGCUCCACUUCAUCACAUACCAAAGCUCUGAUUGCCCUCCGGGCCAUUAGACAGUGGAAAACAGGGCAGGUGGAUCACCAACAUCCUGUGGGACCAGAUGCAGCACAUGCAGCUGGGGAAACUCUGACUCCCGGAACCAUCAGCACCGGAUCCCCCCAUGGCUGUGUCCUUUCUCCUCUGCUUUUCUCCCUUUACACCAACACCUGCACCUCCAAUUAUCAGUCAUUAAAGUUCCUAAAGUUUGCGGACGACACCAUCCUCAUUGGAGACUUAUCUCUGAUGGGGAGCUGAACAUCAGCUUCCUAAUGAAGGAAGCGCAGAAGAGGUUGUACUUCCUGCUGCAGUUGAAGAAGUUCAACUUGCAAAGGACAAUGAUGGUGAACUUCUACACUGCCAUCAUCGAAUCCAUCCUCACCUCCUCCAUCACCACCUGAUACGCUGCUGCCACUGCCAAGGAAAAGAGCAGACUGCAGUUUAUCAUUCACUCUGCUAUGACGUGUUUUGACAUUUUUAUGCCUAACUAUACUAAGAUGUUUUUUGACAUUUUUAUGUCCAACUAUACUAUGACAUAUUUUGACAUUUUUAUGACUUACUAUACUUUUGACAUUUUUUGAUGUUUGUAGACCUAACCAUACUAUGAUGUUUUUUUGGUCAUUUUAUACCUUAGUAUACUACGAUGUUUUUUGAAAUUUGUAUGCCUUACAAUAUAUGACCUCUUUUGAUGUUUGUAUGCAUUACUAUACUAUGUCAUUUUUUGAGGUUUUUAUGCUUUAUUAUACUUUGAUAUUUUUUUGCUAAUUCAUGCCCUACUAUACUUUGACCUUUUCGACAUUUGUCUAUAAUGUUUAUAUGCCUUACUAUAGCAUGUUUUUUGACAUUUUUAUGCCUUAUUAUAUAUGUUUUUUGAUGUUUUUAUGCCUUACUAUAUUAUGAUGUUAUUAUGCAUUGUUAUAGCAUGUCGUUUUUUGACAUUUUUAUGCAUUACUAUACAAGGACAUUUUUUUCACACCCCACUGAACUAUUGCACAUUCCCCCAGUGAUUUUGCAGUGUACAUAUUUUUCUUGUUUAUGUUUAUAGUUUCCUAUGUUCUCUUUUAUAUCAUUUUUCUUCAUAUUUUAUUGUAAAUAUUUUAUGUUGUUGUUAAAAUUUUCUUUGUAUAUCUAAGAUGUCUGUUCUGCAGAACUUGCUUGUUUCAUCUUUGUUUAUAUUUCUUUUCUUCUUGCAAUGUCUAUUUAUAUGCACCAAAGAAACACAGCAAGUUCCUUGUAUGUUGAAAACUUAUUUUGCAGUAAACCACAUUCUGAUUCUGAA